AGAUUAAGCAAAGAAGAGCGCAGGGUGGAUGCCUUGGCACUAAGAGCCGAAGAAAGACGUGAUAAGCUGCGAAAAGCUGCGGGGAGAUGCAAAUAAUCCUUGAUCCGCAGAUGUCUGAAUGGGGAAACCCGGUACGAAGAACUCGUAUCAUCCAUACGCCAAUCCAUAACGUAUGGAGGGGAACCCGGUGAACUGAAACAUCUAAGUAGCCGGAGGAAGAGAAAGAAACAUCGAUUUUGUUAGUAGCGGCGAGCGAAAGCGAAAGAGGCCAAACCGGAGUGCGUGCACUCCGGGGUUCGGACCGCAUUUAAGAUUCAGUAAUUCUAGCAGAAAGGUUUGGGAAAGCCUGCCGGAGAGGGUGAAAGCCCCGUAAGCGAAAGGAGAGCUGACUGAGCGGAAUCCAGAGUACAUCGAGACACGAGAAACCUUGAUGGAAAGAGCGGGGACCACCCCGUAAGCCUAAAUACUACUUAGUGACCGAUAGCGCAUAGUACUGUGAAGGAAAGGUGAAAAGGACCCCGGGAGGGGAGUGAAAGAGAACCUGAAACCCUGUGUUUACAAGCUGUGGAAGUUCUUUAAAUGAACAACCGCGUACUUUUUGUAGAACGGUCCGGCGAGUUGCGGAUACUGGCAAGGUUAAGCACUUAAGGUGCGGAGCCGAAGGGAUACCAAGUCUUAACAGGGCGUUAAGUCAGUGUACGCAGACCCGAAACCGGGUGAUCUAUCCAUGUCCAGGUUGAAGUUGUCGUAAAAGACAAUGGAGGACCGAAGCCACAUCCGUUGAAAAGGGUGGGCAUGAGGUGUGGAUAGGGGAGAAAUUCCAAUCGAACCCGGAGAUAGCUGGUUCUCCUCGAAAUAGCUUUAGGGCUAGCCUCGAUUUAGUCUUAUGGAGGUAGAGCACUGAAUUUCCGCGGGGGCGUCAAAGCUUACCAAAGAAUAUCAAACUCCGAAUGCCAUGUAGAUGAUGAUCGGGAGUCAGACUGCACGAGAUAAGUUGGGCAGUCAAAAGGGAAAGAGCCCAGACCACCGGCUAAGGUCCCAAAGUGCGUGUUAAGUGGAAAAGGAUGUGGGAAUUCGAAGACAACUAGGAUGUUGGCUCAGAAGCAGCCAUACAUUCAAAGAGUGCGUAACAGCUCACUAGUCGAGAGUUCCUGCGCCGAAAAUGUCCGGGGCUGAAACACGACACCGAAGCCGUGGACUCGCAAUGCGAGUGGUAGAGGAGCAUUCUUAAAACCGACGAAGCUGUACCGGAAGGAGCAGUGGAGGGAUAAGAAGAGAGAAUGCCGGAAUGAGUAGCGAGAGAAAGGUGGGAAUCCUUUCGGCCGAAUAUCUAAGGUUUCCAGAGUAAAGCUGAUCUGCUCU
This 1362-nucleotide ribosomal RNA is filed under the name Agathobacter rectalis. Its description in RNAcentral is "partial 23S ribosomal RNA". It matches the Rfam family "Bacterial large subunit ribosomal RNA", at positions 1 to 1376 of the family's 2925-position model. Lineage: Bacteria; Bacillati; Bacillota; Clostridia; Lachnospirales; Lachnospiraceae. The record is from RNAcentral.